This 104-nucleotide antisense RNA is filed under the name Vibrio genomosp. F6 str. FF-238. Its description in RNAcentral is "Vibrio RNA AS9". It matches the Rfam family "Vibrio RNA AS9". Rfam says of the family: Identified by direct cloning an parallel sequencing experiments with 5S/tRNA depletion. The record is from Rfam by way of RNAcentral. Lineage: Bacteria; Pseudomonadati; Pseudomonadota; Gammaproteobacteria; Vibrionales; Vibrionaceae.
ACGCUCACAACGCUCUUUUGUCAUAGUUAGACAGAUCAAACCGCGACCAUACAUUGCCAUGAAGUUAAUCGCUUCAGGGGUAAUAUGUUCCGCUGCCAUGAUUA